AGAAUGAUUUUUUUAAACCAACUAUUUUUGGUGUCAGGUUAAUUAAAUAUUUUUUCUCUCAAGAAACAUGCAGACUGUGAAGCUGAACCACAAACAACAAAUCUGUCCAACUCCUUGAAAAUUAGAAAGGAUUGAAAAGAAAUUAAUAACUCUGAGAAAACAAGAAUCAUCCAGAAAAAAGGCCAAAAUCAACACUCAGGGGAGCUUUGAUUGUUAGCUCCCCUUUUCAAAAAAGACUAGUAACCCAAACUCUGCCUCUUGCAAUGAAACUGCCACCAAUAAGAGAGAGAGAUGCAAUAUAAGAUAAACUGCCUGCAGUAAUAUUAACCCUUUCCUGACUCAAUGACAAGAAGAGAAAAUAGAUUAAAGGACCAAACAGAAGCUCUUCCUUGUGUAUGCCUUUUAACUAAAGAUCAGAAUAUGUGUUCUACCAGAUGAGGACAAAGCAUGUGUUCAUCUACAUGGGAAAUGAUCCAUCCUUGUCCUAAAUACAGACAACACCUUCUGGAGAACCAGAUCCUAUAAUGAGGAAUACAGAAACUUCUUCAGUGUUAACCAACAUAACAUUAUAAACAAGGCUAGUCUCUCAUCUCUGCAAAGAAGUGGGAUAAGGGAGAACAAGGUAGAGCAAGAAUAUUCAAGGACAAGGAAACUACUCUUGCUUUCUAUUAUGGAUACAUAUAUCCUUUUCAUUGGAGCCAAUAUCAAAGAUUAAGAAAGUUAACUUUUAUAGGAGGUGUUAAGGUG
This 747-nucleotide long non-coding RNA is filed under the name Monodelphis domestica (gray short-tailed opossum). Its description in RNAcentral is "lncRNA (ENSMODG00000030143.2)". Lineage: Eukaryota; Metazoa; Chordata; Mammalia; Didelphimorphia; Didelphidae. The record is from RNAcentral.